RNAcentral lists this transfer RNA (72 nucleotides) under Glaucostegus cemiculus (blackchin guitarfish). RNAcentral describes it as "tRNA-Val". It matches the Rfam family "tRNA". Rfam says of the family: Transfer RNA (tRNA) molecules are approximately 80 nucleotides in length. Their secondary structure includes four short double-helical elements and three loops (D, anti-codon, and T loops). Further hydrogen bonds mediate the characteristic L-shaped molecular structure. tRNAs have two regions of fundamental functional importance: the anti-codon, which is responsible for specific mRNA codon recognition, and the 3' end, to which the tRNAs corresponding amino acid is attached (by aminoacyl-tRNA synthetases). tRNAs cope with the degeneracy of the genetic code in two manners: having more than one tRNA (with a specific anti-codon) for a particular amino acid; and 'wobble' base-pairing, i.e. permitting non-standard base-pairing at the 3rd anti-codon position. Lineage: Eukaryota; Metazoa; Chordata; Chondrichthyes; Rhinopristiformes; Glaucostegidae. The record is from RNAcentral.
CAAAAUGUAGCUAAAUUAGUAAAGCACCUCCCUUACACUGAGAAGCUACCCGUGCAAUUCGAGUCAUUUUGA